Molecule: ribosomal RNA, 1466 nt
Filed under: Candidatus Beckwithbacteria bacterium
Lineage: Bacteria; Candidatus Beckwithiibacteriota
Description: bacterial SSU rRNA
Rfam family: Bacterial small subunit ribosomal RNA
Source: RNAcentral
UUGAGAGUUUGAUCCUGGCUCAGGAUUAAUGCUGGCGGCGUGCCUUAGGCAUGCAAGUCGAAUGCCGAUGCAUAAUCGGCAUGGCAGACGGGUGAGUAACGCGUAGGAAUCUACCUCUUGGUGGAGGAUAGCUCAGCGAAAGUUGGGGUAAUCCUUCAUAAGUUCUCCGGAAGAAAGGCUGUAACUGGCCGCCGAGAGAGGAGCCUGCGUCCUAUCAGCUUGUUGGUAGGGUAAUGGCCUACCAAGGCGAUGACGGGUAGGGGGUGUGAGAGCAUGACCCCCCACAAGGUAACUGAGACACGGUGCCUACUUCUACGGAAGGCAGCAACUAGGAAUCUUCGGCAAUGGGCGAAAGCCUGACCGAGCGACGCCGCGUGCGGGAUGAAGGCCUUCGGGUUGUAAACCGCUGUGGAGAGGGAAAAUAAUGAUGGUACCUCUCUAGAAAGCACCUGCUAACUACGUGCCAGAAGCCUCGGUGAUACGUAGGGUGCAAGCAUUAUCCGGAUUUACUGGGCGUAAAGAGUGUCGUAGGCGGUUUUAUAAGUGAUUGGUGAAAUCUUCCCGCUUAACGGGAAAACUGCCAGUCAUACUGUAAAACUAGAGUGACUUCGGGAAGGUUGGAAUUCUCGGUGUAGGGGUGAAAUCCGUUGAUAUCGAGAAGAACACCAAGGGCGAAGGCAGACCUUUAGGAGUUUACUGACGCUGAUGAACGAAAGCUUGGGGAGCGAAAGGGAUUAGAGACCCCUGUAGUCCAAGCCGUAAACCAUGCUCACUAGUUAUUCCAAUUAAUGGAGUGACGUAAGCUAACGCGUUAAGUGAGCCGCCUGGGGAGUACGGCCGCAAGGCUAAAACUCAAAGGAAUUGACGGGGAAACGCACAACCAGGGGAGCAUGUGGUUCAAUUCGAUACAAAGCGAAAAACCUUACCUGGGUUUGAAAUCUAUUUGACCGUUUUGGGAAACCAAAACUUUUCGCAAGAACAGAUAGACAGCUGCUGCAUGGCUGUCGUCAGCUCGUACCGUGAGGCGUCGGCUUAAGUGCCGCAACGAGCGCAACCCCUAUUUCGUGUUGCAUAUCACGAGAGACUGCCCUGCUAAAAGCGGGGAGGAAGGAGGGGACGACGUCAAGUCAGCACGGCGCUUACAUCCAGGGCUACACACAUCCUACAAUGGUGAAGGACAAUGGGCAGCGAAACCGCAAGGCGGAGCUAAUCCCACAAACCUUCCCUCAGUUCAGAUUGCGGGCUGAAACCCGCCCGCAUGAAGCCGGACUUGGUAGUAAUCGCGGGUCAGCAGACCGCGGUGAAUACGUUCCCGUUUCUUGUACACACCGCCCGUCACAUGAGGAAAGCCGGCAGCGCCCGAAGCGGUCCUGAUUGUAGGACAACUAAGGCGAGGUCGGUAAUCAGCGUGAAGUCGUAACAAGGUAUCCGUUCUGGAAGGAGCGGAUGGAUCACCUCCUUUCUAA